ACAUAACUUUUUUUUAUUACUGCC
This 24-nucleotide non-coding RNA is filed under the name Arabidopsis thaliana (thale cress). Lineage: Eukaryota; Viridiplantae; Streptophyta; Magnoliopsida; Brassicales; Brassicaceae. The record is from RNAcentral.